UAGCGUCAGGGCAGGGCCACACCCCACCCCGGGGCCACAUAAAACGCGGCUGGUCCCCUCAAAUCCAGCGGCAGAAUUAACAGCAUUGCACUGAGAGAUUGAUGGAGCAGCUUCCUUGGGGAGCCACCCCAGGAAUAACCUCAAGGCAGGCAGGAGAUGCUGAAGGUUCCUACAGCCAAAAAGGCCAAACGAGCCCCUGUUUAAGGCAGAAAUUCUUCUGUGGCCACCUAGACGCGGAUUUGUGGGCCACAAAAAGCAGAUUCCUCUCCUUGGGUUUAUUCGCCCUCUCGGCGGAUGCUAGAAAUGAGGAAUUGAUUCAGGUGGUUUUGUGGCGGAGCUGAUUUUCCGUGCCGGAGGAACCCAGCGGAAAAUGGAGGCUGCGAGCAGCAAUUACGUGCUCGGCGUUGGCAAGGAGGUUUCGCUCCGGAGGGGAAAAACCAACACCCAGAAGUUGUGUUUGCAGAAACAGAGAUCCCAGCUGCACAUCAGUCAGGAGCAUGGAUUAUUAACGAGUUUUUAAUUCCUUGUGGAAGUCAUCAGGGCUGAACCUUCCCAACCACGGCAGCUCUUUAAUGGAUUUGCAGCAGCCCAGGGUAUAAUUUCUCUCAGCCUCAAGCCAGGAGCUGCAUCGAGCUCCUCAGGAGCUUUGGCCUUUCUUCAUCCACGGUGGAAAUAACGCCCCAGGCCCUGUGCCAGCUCAGAAAUCAUUAAUGCGGGUGUUCUCUUGCCUGUGUUCAGGCCUGGAACCACUGUGCCUGAAGAAUAUUUUUGUGGCAUCGAUAAUCCAAGGAGUUUUGAUGUUAAAAACAGGAAAACAAGAGCAAAACCUCUGGGAUUUGGUUUCUCACAAAGCUGAGUUCAGGAGCCAGCAGGGAAUCAAUCCAUGCCUCAAAAAAAAAAAAA
Long non-coding RNA from Vidua macroura (Pin-tailed whydah), 903 nucleotides. RefSeq lists it as uncharacterized. The record is from RefSeq and is a predicted model, not a curated record. NCBI's taxonomy places the organism in Eukaryota, Metazoa, Chordata, Aves, Passeriformes, Viduidae. The transcript is spliced from 5 exons.